AGGCUCUUGAGAGAGGAGAGGAGUUGGCAGAGUUGCCACCCGGUUCACGAACAGGAACAGAAGCCACCAGCACAUGACAUUGCCCAAGUCACCCAGAGAUCAGAGUGGAAGAGUCCUAAUUACUGGGCGGCCCGCCCCCGGGAUGUGCCUCUCCCAUCCCUCUCCAGGCGGGGCUCGUGGCUAAGCAGCGACUCAUCCUACCAGCCUGUCAGAGGCCAAGAGCAGCCAACAACUCCGCAGGCGACAAUGGCCGCUGCACCCCAGGCGCUGGGUCCCAGCUUAGAGCCUGGGAUGCAGUGUCGGGAGACGCGGUGCCCAGAGCAUCCAGUAGGUGUCGCUGUCCCGCGGCCGCCGCGCGCCCUUGGGGGUGGGGAGCCGGGGCGUGUCUGCCUCACCUGGGGCUCCCGGCUCGCGCGCCUCACCUGGACUCGCGCCCCUUGCCGCCCGCGCAGCGAGGGGCGCUCUCCCGCGGCUGGGUCCCCUCCUCCGCCCCAAGAGCUCGGGCUGCAGUGCUGCUCGCGCUGCGCGUGGUGCUAGUUCUGCAACCCGCUGCCGUCCCCGCAUCCGCGACGAGGGGCGGGGUCCCACGGCGCGCUGGGAAAGUCUGGGGCGCUGGCGCCCAGGUGUGUUCUUCCACAGGGCCCGGGCGGCAGAGAGGAUCGCGUCCCGGCAGUCGCAGCGGGAGGAGGACAAGACGAUGCCGCUGUCCCCGCCAGCCCAGGGCGACCCCGGGGAGCCCAGCCAGUGCAGGCCCCCUAAGAAGCAUACCACCUUCCACCUCUGGCGCUCCAAAAAGAAGCAGCAGCCGGCGCCGCCUGACUGUGGGGUGUUCGUUCCGCACCCGCUCCCGGCGCCUGCCGGGGAGGCCAGAGCUUUGGAGCUAGUAGAUGGAAGACAUGUGGUUCGAGAGUCCCAGGAAUUUCCACUGCACUGUGGGGAUUCCCAGUUCUUCCACACCACCAGUGAGGCGCUUGGUUCCUUACUUCUAGAGUCUGGAAUAUUUAAAAAGGUAAUGCUUCGUUUCUAAUGUUUGACUCCCGAGAAUAAACCCUUCAAAGAGUUAAAGCACUGUAAGAUAGCCUAAGAAACACAU
This 1093-nucleotide long non-coding RNA is filed under the name Macaca fascicularis (crab-eating macaque). Its description in RNAcentral is "lncRNA (ENSMFAG00000051084.1)". The record is from RNAcentral. Lineage: Eukaryota; Metazoa; Chordata; Mammalia; Primates; Cercopithecidae.